CGUCUAUAUACGUAUAGCAUAUCAAUAAGCGGAGGAAAAGAAACUAACUAGGAUUCCCUCAGUAACGGCGAGUGAAGCGGGAAGAGCUCAAAUUUGAAAUCUUCAAGGUUCUACCUUGACGAAUUGUAGUUUAAAGAAGUGUUUUCUGUUGGAGUUUUGGUAAAAGUUCUUUGGAAAUAGGACAUCAUAGAGGGUGAGAAUCCCGUAUUUGACCAUUAUUUCCAACUUUGUGAUACACUUUCAAAGAGUCGGAUUGUUUGGGAAUGCAGUCCAAAAUGGGUGGUAAAUUUCAUCUAAAGCUAAAUACUGGCGAGAGACCGAUAGCGAACAAGUACCGUGAGGGAAAGAUGAAAAGAACUUUGAAAAGAGAGUUAAACAGUACGUGAAAUUGUCAAAAGGGAAGCGUUUGACACCAGUGUUGUUUUCUCGAAAAUCAAUUAAAAAUGGUGGGAUUUUGUGUUGUAUUGACUUUAUCAGCUUUCUGCACUUUUUUCCUUAUCUUUUUUAAUGCACUUUUCGUUUAACAAGUCAACAUCAAUUUCUUUUGUUGUAAAAGGAGUCAUUGGAAGGUGGCUUUUCUUUCGGAGAAAGUGUUUAUAGCCUUUGGCUUCUGCAAUCGGAGAGAUUGAGGUCUGCAGCGUAGAUCCUUCGGGGUUAGAUACAUUUGUGCUAAGUUAUAGCCUUUCAUAGACAACUUGUUGACUAUGAUCAGUCAUGUAGCUUACUCGCUUAUGUUAUUUUACCUACGCUUAGGAUGUUGACGAUCAGCUGAGCGCG
This 777-nucleotide ribosomal RNA is filed under the name uncultured Neocallimastigales. RNAcentral describes it as "partial large subunit ribosomal RNA". It matches the Rfam family "Eukaryotic large subunit ribosomal RNA", at positions 26 to 627 of the family's 3401-position model. The record is from RNAcentral. Lineage: Eukaryota; Fungi; Neocallimastigomycota; Neocallimastigomycetes; Neocallimastigales.